CGUGCUCCCAGUAACCAUGCUGGCAAUCAGCGGCUACGUUACAUUUGUGAAGUCGUAAGCUCCGCGUCACAAUCGUGAGAGGUCCUAUCACGUUGUGGCUGGAUGAUUUCAAGAACUUCUCGUGAACACAACGUCCCACGAACAACAGAAUCGAGGAUCCAGGGAAAACAGUCAGUCAGCGCAGCCGGGUCACCUCCCAGUUUCAAUGUGGAAGGCGAGGUUGUAAGUCGAUGGUCCAUCCUUCAAUCCAUUCGACGAGUUGGGAAGACACGCAUCUAAGCAAUCCACCAACUUGGAACAUGAGGGGGCUUCCAGAAGACACUUGCUCCAUAUGCUCCUCAGAUCUAGGGAUAUACCGUGUUCGUGGCCACUUGAUCGCAUUUUCGAUAUGUCAGCUCGAAGGCAACUAUUUUUGCAAUAAUCAUACGGUAUGAACGAGGGCUGACCACUAAACUUGCACAAUCGCAACACUCCCACUUGGCAAUAAUUCAGUUCCCAUAGCAACACGUAUUGGCAGCAAUGCCCAUGCUGGCCGCGAUGGGUGGUGCUGGUGAAAAGGCUCGCCAUGGCUCGCCAUGGCCAGCCCACUGAGCCACGGGAGGUCGAUGGCGGUUUCUGGCUGCUGCUGCGCCAUCCAAUAGAUGUGCGCGGAUUAGCCUACGCCGUGACCCAUCAUCGCUCCCCCCAUCUAGCCGGAAUGAAAGGCGAGGGUCGAAAUGUGAGAUUCCGCGCAGAGCGACUGAUUUUCGGCUGUGUAAUUUUAAUUUAAAUUUUGCAUCAUCUCCAGAUACAAUAACGCUAAAGAGAUCUUGAAAGAAUAAAAUAUAUACGAGUUGUUACCUCGACUACUGCCAUGGGCACGACAGUUGUGAAAUGGUCGGUGCGUAAACACUACACUUUUUGGACAAUGUAGAACUUGAGUGUGCGACUCGUGGGAGCAUAUCGGCUGCAGUCAUUGGCGAUGAAACACCUUCAUGAUUAUCGGGAAAUAAGUUGGUCGGUGCGUUUGACGGUCACGAAAAAGAGUGUAAAUCAUUUAUACCCAUUCAGUUUCAUCGAAACUAGAACAAAAUAAAUAAAGUA
Ornithodoros turicata is the source of this 1083-nucleotide long non-coding RNA. RefSeq lists it as uncharacterized. The record is from RefSeq and is a predicted model, not a curated record. The transcript has 3 exons. Lineage: Eukaryota; Metazoa; Arthropoda; Arachnida; Ixodida; Argasidae.